GAGGCUGAGUCUCAGUACUUUUCCGCAUGAAAACAGGAACAGCAUGGUUAUUUAUUGUAGCAGAAUCUACCUACCUAAUUCUCCUAAACACAGACACAGCAACCAGUCAAGGUCGUGGCCAGGGCAUUUUUGAACUUCAAAAGUCUUUGAUUCACUUCUGGGCUGAUCCAGGCCUUAAGCCUACCCUUUGUGUUGGGGUCGGGCUGCCUGGGGUGAGGCCACUCCAGUAAACUCCACCUGAAGCAAGGACAGUUUUCUGUGGUAGUGAUCUGCGCCACCACCACCUGAUUCAAAGUACCGUGCAGUCCUUAUAUUGAUGGAAUGAAGGCCAAAGGUCCACAUGACCAUUAUCGUCUAAUUCUUCCAUGUGAAGCCUGAAAACCAUGAGAUCAUU
Molecule: long non-coding RNA, 394 nt
Organism: Polypterus senegalus (gray bichir)
Lineage: Eukaryota; Metazoa; Chordata; Cladistia; Polypteriformes; Polypteridae
Exons: 3
Source: RefSeq, a predicted model, not a curated record